This 253-nucleotide ribosomal RNA is filed under the name uncultured bacterium. RNAcentral describes it as "partial 16S ribosomal RNA". It matches the Rfam family "Bacterial small subunit ribosomal RNA", at positions 524 to 776 of the family's 1533-position model. The record is from RNAcentral.
UACAGGGGGUGCAAACGUUGCUCGGAAUUAUUGGGCGUAAAGCGCGCGUAGGCGGCUACUUAAGUCGGAUGUGAAAGCCCUUGGCUCAACUGAGGAAGUGCACCCGAAACUGAGUGGCUAGAGUACGAAAGAGGGUCGCGGAAUUCCCGGUGUAGAGGUGAAAUUCGUAGAUAUCGGGAGGAACACCAGCGGCGAAGGCGGCGAUCUGGGGGGAUACUGACGCUGAGGUGCGAAAGCUAGGGGAGCGAACGGG